AUGAACCUGGGGGCCACUGGACACCGUACGGGGCAACACCACCGCCUGCAGCAGCCGCUCCUCUCCUCCUCUCAUCAACGACAAGAACAAGGCGUCCCCGAGGGACCUAAGCAUCGUCAGUGGCAUGUGAUAGAGGAGGAGGUUGGCAAAGGAGUUGGAACAAUGGAGGAGGUGGCCACCGGCACGGGGCAGAGGAGGCGGGUGGGAACUGGGAAGAGCCGAAAAGGAAGGACGGAAGUUGUGGCAGCAGCCGCAGAAGGGGAGAGGAGACGGAGGCGGCACCGGCAAGAGGGGAGGAACGGUGUCGCGGAAACAGGCAUGGGCCCCGCCGCUCUGUCCCCAGCCCGCAUGGCCACAGACGCCUCCCACACCGGUGGCAGCCCAGAGGGGCCUCGGGAGGGGCUGGCCCCGAGGAACGGCAACCCGGCGUGCCCGUCCAUCGAUAGCUGA
Molecule: ribosomal RNA, 450 nt
Filed under: Triticum aestivum (bread wheat)
Lineage: Eukaryota; Viridiplantae; Streptophyta; Magnoliopsida; Poales; Poaceae
Description: partial small subunit ribosomal RNA
Source: RNAcentral